GGGGCUCUUCUUCAGUUGUAGAUAUCCAGACCUAAAGUACUAUGACUUUUUACAUUCAUAACAAAUAAGGGGCUGCUUCUUAUCCUUCUCCUUGCUAUGCUCCCUUUUUAUAGGUGGCCUCUUCCUCAUCCCUUAUUUUUUUUUCUUCAUAAAUCUUUUAAACUUUCUAGUGAUGAGAGUAAUUUCUUCAUCUUGCUCUUCAUUUUCUGUUUCAUCGAAUUUCUCAUCGAGUUGAGCAGUGGAUUUGAAGGCGAUUGUCCUCUUUUUCUUGACAUCUUCUUCUUGAUGUUGUUUCAUGCUUAGCUCGUGUGUCAUUAGUGAUCAUAGAAGCUCCUCCAAAGGUAAGACAUUCAGAUCUUUGACUUUUUGAAUUGCGGUCACUUUAGCCUUCCAAGUCCUUGACAAAGACCUAAGAAUCUUUCUCACAAGAUCGCUGUUAGAGUAAGACUUACCAAGACUUUUUAGAUUAUUAAUAAUAUCUGUAAAGCGAGAAAAUAUUUUAGUUAUUGAUUCAUCAUGCUCCAUUUUAAAGAGUUCAUAUUUGUGCAUAAGCAUGUUGAUUUUUGAUUCCUUAACUUGAUUAGUGCCUUCAUGUGUUACUUCUAACCUAUCUCAUAUUUCUUUAGCUGAUAUGCAUGUUGAAAUAUGAUUAAACUC
Molecule: long non-coding RNA, 657 nt
Filed under: Elaeis guineensis (African oil palm)
Lineage: Eukaryota; Viridiplantae; Streptophyta; Magnoliopsida; Arecales; Arecaceae
Description: long non-coding RNA (EGUI_LNC018009)
Source: RNAcentral